Molecule: non-coding RNA, 27 nt
Filed under: Mus musculus (house mouse)
Lineage: Eukaryota; Metazoa; Chordata; Mammalia; Rodentia; Muridae
Source: RNAcentral
UGCCACUGGAUUUUCUUGGGAUUGUGU